GGUAGCGCGGUGCCGGGGGGGGGGGGAAGACGUAGGGGGCCGGCGUUGGUCGGAGUUACGGGGCGGAAAGGGGGCGGAGGGGGGUGAUGGGGGCCGGGGGGAAAGCCCCCGGCCUAACCGGGGAGGGUCGGCGGGGACGGGUGAGCUUGAGGGUAGCAGGGGCUGGUGGAAUUCCCGGUGUAGUGGUGAAAUGCGUAGAGAUCGGGAGGAACACCCGUGGCGAAGGCGGCCAGCUGGGCUACACCUGACACUGAGGCGCGAAGGCGUGGGGAGCGAACGGGAUUAGAUACCCCGGUAGUC
Molecule: ribosomal RNA, 300 nt
Filed under: uncultured Ignicoccus sp.
Lineage: Archaea; Thermoproteati; Thermoproteota; Thermoprotei; Desulfurococcales; Desulfurococcaceae
Description: partial 16S ribosomal RNA
Rfam family: Bacterial small subunit ribosomal RNA (bases 52-300)
Source: RNAcentral